CCUGAGACCACCAUCACCAUUGUGGGCAUCAGUGCUGCCCUGAGUCUUCUUGGAGCUGUGGUCACUGGAGCUGUGCUGUGGAGGAAGAAGUGCUCAGACAGAGGCAGGAAGAGCUACACUCAGGCUGACUGCAGUGACAGUGCUCAGGGCUCUGAUGUGUCUCUCACAGCUCCUAAGGGUGAGACCCUGAGAACAGGAAGUGGGGGGCAUUGGUACUGAGAAACACAGUUGGGUUUGGGCGAUUCUCAGAGUGGGACAUUCUGAGCGUGUGGUGGGCUGUGGGAAAAUGUGACACUUCUGAGACUGACCUGAAUUUCUUUGUGACAACUUUCUUUCCCAGUG
Molecule: long non-coding RNA, 342 nt
Organism: Phyllostomus discolor (pale spear-nosed bat)
Lineage: Eukaryota; Metazoa; Chordata; Mammalia; Chiroptera; Phyllostomidae
Exons: 3
Source: RefSeq, a predicted model, not a curated record